GUAGGAACCUCUGCCUCCUGCUAUAAUAAUGGGCAAUUACGUCAAUGUACCAUGCAAGCUGUUCCACAUCCACACUACCAUUAUUGUUGUCCUCCAGGUCUUGUCAACUGCCACACGACCUAAACAACAACUUCAGUGGCACUCUUGUAAUAUGCUUCCCAAACCAAGGUUAUUUACGCAAUGUCAAGCUACUAACAGGUGAUGAAAUUCCUUUUUUGCCAUCUAGUAAGUGUCUAAUUUCCUAAAAACGGGACACGACGAAAAUGGGCAGACAUUGAAGAGUGCUUGAUUUAGAGUAAUUCGUUGAUGUGAUUGAUGGCGCGUGAGAAGAGCGAAGAGAGCGUGAAGCUGUUCGUUGGUCAAGUGCCGAAGCAAAUGACGGAGGAACAGCUUAUGGAGAUGUUCAGAAAGUUGGCAGUUAUUGAACAAGUCAGCAUCAUCAAAGACAAGACUACACGCGCUUCUCGAGGAUGUUGCUUUCUCAUUUGUCCCUCCAGGGAAGAAGCAGACAAGGCUAUAACUGCUUACCACAAUAAACACACACUUCCUGGGGCUUCAAGUCCGUUGCAAGUGAAGUAUGCUGAUGGCGAGUUGGAAAGGCUAGAGCACAAGCUUUUUGUGGGUAUGUUGCCAAAGAAUGUUUCUGACCCCGAAGUCUACUCCUUAUUCUCUCAAUAUGGGACCAUUACUUAUUUGCAAAUUCUCAGAGGUUCUCAGCAAACUAGUAGAGGAUAUGCUUUUCUGAAGUAUGAGAAAAAAGAACAUGCAAUUGCAGCAGUAGAGGCCCUUAAUGGAAAGCAUACUAUGGAGGGUGCAACUCUCCCUUUGGUAGUCAAGUGGGCAGAUACAGAAAGGGAAAGGCAAGCUAGGAGGGCUCAGAAAGCUUUAUCUCAUGCAUCUAAUGCUCCCAACUCUGGGCAGCAUCCAUCUUUUUAUGGCUCUCUAUCCACGGGUUAUAUGCCUCCAUAUAAUGACUAUGCUUAUCAGACUCCUGGAACAUAUGGGCUCAUGCAGUACCGUCAACCAUCAGUACAGAACCGACCCUCAUUUCAGAAUAUGGUUCCAUCCACAAAUCAAGGAGGUACUCUACGUGGAGUUGCCCCUGGAAUUGCCCCAAGAAAUUAUGCCAUGUCGCCUGGAAGCUAUCUGGCAUCUGCUUACAGGGGUGUUCAAGGGCUUCAAUAUCCCAGUCGCUAUCCUGGGGGCAUUACUGGUUAUCUACCUCCUUAUACCUCUAACAGACAUUCUGCAGCAUCUUCAAGUGUCGAUUCAAAUAGAGGGGGUCAAGUUGAAGGUCCAGCUGGUGCUAAUUUAUUUAUUUACCACAUUCCUCAAGAAUUUGGUGAUCAACAGCUUGCAGACACAUUUCAACAAUUUGGUAAGGUCUUGAGUGCCAAAGUUUUUGUGGACAAAGCUACUGGUGUUAGUAAAUGUUUUGGAUUUGUAAGUUUCGCCUCUCCAGAUGAUGCACAAUCUACAAUCAAAAUGAUGAAUGGUUUCCAACUAGAUGGGAAAAAGUUGAAGGUUCAGCUUAAAAGAGAAAAUAAGCAGAACAAAGCUUAUUGAUAUAAAAGCGUAUGGAGUUGAUGUUAUGAAGUCAGAGAAAGUCGUAAUGCAUUUUCCGUUCAUGAUUUAACUACACCUGUGGGAGAGGGUGGCUCUGUUUUCUUCUGAAACUCAGGUUCUGAUCUGCCUCGGAAGGAAUAGUGAGAAUGCACAGUUCCUGUCUAGUUGGUGAGGGGCCGUUUUCCAUGGGGAUUUGAAGAGACAUUUGAUCUUGGCCUGACAUAUUCUACAGAGAAGAUGCAUUUCAUUCUUCAGCAUGCUUACUCAUCAAAACUUUGGAAUUCUUGUACUUCGUCACCGUUAUGUGGACGGCAGGAGAGGACUAAUUUCUCUGCGGACUAAAUACCGGGAGUUAAAGGGGUUAAGUAAGUUCUUUCAUGAAGGCCUGAGAAAUUUUGAAAUUUUUCCAUGCUGAAUUCAUAUUGUUAGCUUCAAUUGUUAUUACCUUUUCCAUGAUAUGUAAGUACUAAUAGUUAUUCCCCAAAACAUUAGUUCAAUACUAGCUAGUUGGCCGCCAAGGAUAGAAUUGAAUUAUCCAAAAUUUAUGCCAUUUUUCUAUUGUUUCUGACAUUUAUUGUUGAACAAGCUUGGCAGUAAGCAAAAAAAUUUUCUUUGUUUUA
Molecule: RNA transcript, 2186 nt
Organism: Capsicum annuum
Lineage: Eukaryota; Viridiplantae; Streptophyta; Magnoliopsida; Solanales; Solanaceae
Gene name: RNA-binding protein BRN1
Exons: 11
Source: RefSeq, a predicted model, not a curated record